RNAcentral lists this ribosomal RNA (499 nucleotides) under uncultured bacterium. RNAcentral describes it as "partial 16S ribosomal RNA". It matches the Rfam family "Bacterial small subunit ribosomal RNA", at positions 28 to 507 of the family's 1533-position model. The record is from RNAcentral.
GACGAACGCUGGCGGCGUGCCUAAUACAUGCAAGUCGAGCGAAGUUUUUCUGGUGCUUGCACUAGAAAAACUUAGCGGCGAACGGGUGAGUAACACGUAAAGAACCUGCCUCAUAGACUGGGACAACUAUUGGAAACGAUAGCUAAUACCGGAUAACAGUAUUUCUCGCAUGAGAGAUAUUUAAAAGUUGGUUAUGCUAACACUAUGAGAUGGCUUUGCGGUGCAUUAGCUAGUUGGUGGGGUAAAGGCCCACCAAGGCGACGAUGCAUAGCCGACCUGAGAGGGUGAUCGGCCACACUGGGACUGAGACACGGCCCAGACUCCUACGGGAGGCAGCAGUAGGGAAUCUUCCGCAAUGGGCGAGAGCCUGACGGAGCAACGCCGCGUGAGUGAAGAAGGAGUUCGGUUCGUAAAGAUCUGUUGUUAGGGAAGAAUGGAUAUGUAGUAACUAUACAUGUAAGAGACGGUACCUAGCCAGAAAGCCACGGCUAACUACGUG